CCUUAGUUUUAGAAAAGUUAGUUCUAUAUUGUGUGCAUUGUUAUUAUGAACAUUAUUGUCAGAGCUGGUUGAACAAGUGAUGUGUGAAAUUGAACACUGCACGUCACAUUCAUUCAAGUUUUACUUUUAAAAAAAGAUCAAAAUAAACUUGUACAGUUGAACCAAAAUAGAACACUAUAUUACACAUCAUCUUUUACUUUUUCACUUUUUCUGUUUCAUUCUCUGCUUCAAAACCUCCCUGCUACAGAUGAAUUUGAAUUCCCACAAAAUAAGAUAGAGAUGUUUUAACAGUUCUGCUACAGUGUUAUCCAGCCUCCCUGGUGUAUCCACAGUGUAAAACGAAGGGUGUAAUUAAAAAAAAGGGUUCAGUGUCCUACAGCAAACAUGGACAUUGCGUGCAUGAGACAUUUAAUUAAAACAAACACCUGGAGAUGGGGACAAACCUACAUUUCCCCUCAGGACUUAGUAAAAUUAAUCAAAACUGUGUCAAAAUCCACCGGCCUGGGCUACGUUGGUACACUUUCAGAACAAAACAUUUAUUUAACAUUUAAACAAUUGUUUUACUUCGUUUUUUAAGCUAAUUUUAAAGUUAUUUCUAUGACACACUCCAAAAAUUGAGCACCUGAGCAAAUUAGCACAAAAGAAAUUCCUAUGUAAUAUUUUAGAAGGUUCCUCAGUCAGCACUCUCGCUGGAAGUUGUAAUGUAGUUCUCAGUAUUAAAUAGGCUUGUUAACAUGGGCUGCUAAUGCUAACUGCUGCUAAUUGUUUGACAUUGUUUUGUUUAGGAUAAAAACAAACUGGACUCCACAUGCCAGCGACGACUGAGAUUAUCCAGCCUUCUAUCUACCAGUUAUGUUCGCCAAAAGGGUGACACCCACCUCCACCAAAUGACUGCUGGGACUGCCUGCCUUCAGCUCCUGCAACUGUGAACAGAUUUUAGUGGUACAGUUACAUUUCAUAUCAAAUGUUCUGCUAUUCUUUCUCAGUUAUUUAAGUUUUUAUUGAUGUAUUUUGGCUACGUAGUAUAUGGGAAACCAGGAUUUAAAAUAUGCAAGAGUUAACAGAAAAUAAGGCCAGCAAUCAUAAAGUCAAAUAUUGGAUAACAGAUAGCACCCAAAAACUAACAUUUACCAAUAAUAAAGUUAGUAAAACGUAUAGAAAAGUGAGCAAACAAAAACUAAGACGCCAAAUUAAAUCAGAUGGCUAACAUAGCAAAAACUGAAAUUUGCCAGCAAAAAUAUAGAUUUACAUGAGCUAAUAUUUGGUUAGCCAAAAUUAAUAAACUAAAAACAAUGGAUUAGAAGAUGGAUUAGAGCUAUUAGAAAUGAACAUGUUUGUCCAAAAACUAAAAGCUAAAAGUUGACUUUUAGUUUGCCCCAAACUAAACUAGCUAAAGGUAGCAAAUAAAUUGUGAAAUCACAAUUAGCACAAAACAUUGCUACACAAAAAAACAUUGCAAAAUGUAGCUUAAUCAUGUCUCCCAAAAAUAAUUUGAAAAAUUGCAAAUGCUUAAAGUUUGGUUCACGAUUACUAAAAUUUGGGCAAAAUUAGUCGAAAAAAGUCAAGGACAGAACAAAAGUAUUUGGAAAUGCUGAAAAGGUAACUGUUUUGUAGUCAAUAAAAUUAGUUAUGAGACAUCUUAAAGCCAACAAUCAACAAGUUUAAAAAAAAAAAAAAACUUUGUGUAAACAAAAGGUACACAGUUGAAAAACAAAAUAUUGAAAAGAGUGGUGACGUUUUUUAAUUAAUAAUACAACCACAUUUUGGGGGGGAAAAAAUCCUGAACUAUACCUUAAAAAAAUGCCUUGUAUUUCUGUCAACAUCUUUCAUUAUUGCAAUCAAAUACAUUUGUAAAGAUGAAAAAAAAAAAAAA
Molecule: long non-coding RNA, 1873 nt
Organism: Cynoglossus semilaevis (tongue sole)
Lineage: Eukaryota; Metazoa; Chordata; Actinopteri; Pleuronectiformes; Cynoglossidae
Exons: 2
Source: RefSeq, a predicted model, not a curated record